Molecule: unclassified non-coding RNA, 283 nt
Filed under: plant metagenome
Description: partial contains small subunit ribosomal RNA, internal transcribed spacer 1, and 5.8S ribosomal RNA
Rfam family: 5.8S ribosomal RNA (bases 235-283)
Source: RNAcentral
UUUCCGUAGGUGAACCUACGGAAGGAUCAUUAUUGUAUAACCGAGGUGCGAGGGCUGUCGCUGACCCGAAAGGUCGUGCACGCCCGAGUGCCCUCACACACAUCCAUCUCACCCCUAUGUGCACCACCGCGUGGGUCCCCCUUUGGCUUGUUCGGAGGGGGGCUUACGUUUUCACACAAACUUUGUAUGCAGUGUAGAAUGUAUUUUUUGUUUUUGCGAUCACGCAAUCAAUACAACUUUCAACAACGGAUCUCUUGGCUCUCGCAUCGAUGAAGAACUCUGC